CAUUUCAAUUAAGGGGACUCUCCGGGAUAUUACCAAAGCGUGAUUGCACCCAUAGAAAUGAAGCAAGUGUUACUUGUUUUAGUCAGAAGCACUGGUGGCCAAAGGAGAGGGUACAUGUGCUUGGGGCCUGUUUAGUGUUACUCUUGGAUCCUUUGAGCUAUGGGUUCUGGACUGCAAGGAGGGUUUGUGCUGCUUUGGGACAGAUGAGAACUUUCUGGGCUUUCUUUUGCAUUAGCUGCAGAGAAGGUUCUGUUACUAUGCAUAAAUUCACAGACCCACCUAGAGCGGCUGCUAUUGUGAUGUCAGCGGUGGGCUGCCACGUCACAGCGUGGUCAGGGGGAGGUUGCCCUGGUGCACGCACAGCGUCAGCGUCCAGAGCGGCUCUUGGCGUGCUCGUUGCAGGAGGACCCUGUGUUGAGGAGUUCUCAGGCAACACUCUGUGCCCUGGAAAGGGAAUCUUUUUCUUUUGCCUGCCGUUGUACGAGUCUGUGGACUCGUGUAGGCAUCCUUUUGUUUUCCCCUACGGUUGUAGGGUUUGCAGACACGUACAGGUGUCUUUGCUUUUUCUUUUUUCGUUCUACGAACUGCAGCUUGUGCAGGUGUCUUUUGGUUUUUCUUUUCUUAUACAGUCAGCGGAUUGCUGCGUGUGCCUUUUUUUUUCUCAUUUCCUUGCAAAAUCUAUGCAAGUAGGAUUUUUCCAUUUGUGUUUUCUGGCCUGCGGACUCGAGCAGCCCUGCUGAAACAAUGGAACAAUUCCGCAGUGCUGUCGGCAGGGCUUUUGCAUCAGUAUCAUCCUGCAAAAUGUUCAAAGGCCUGAGACGUUGUCUCAAACGUGGAAGGAAUCAAGUCCGUGGUUUGAGCAGCACACCAGCAGCAGAACCUCCUGUGGCUCGCCCUGUGCCUCCAGAGGCUGAAGGGGAGGCAAAGGA
Cyanistes caeruleus (blue tit) is the source of this 929-nucleotide non-coding RNA. The record is from RefSeq and is a predicted model, not a curated record. Lineage: Eukaryota; Metazoa; Chordata; Aves; Passeriformes; Paridae.